Molecule: ribosomal RNA, 496 nt
Filed under: uncultured bacterium
Lineage: Bacteria
Description: bacterial SSU rRNA
Rfam family: Bacterial small subunit ribosomal RNA
Source: RNAcentral
AGGACGAACGCUGGCGGCGUGCCUAACACAUGCAAGUCGAACGAAGCUUGAAUUCAGAUUCUUCGGAAUGACGAAUGAUAUGACUGAGUGGCGGACGGGUGAGUAACGCGUGAGCAACCUGCCCUUCGGAGGGGGAUAGUGUCUGGAAACGGACAGUAAUACCGCAUAACGUACAGAGACGGCAUCGUCAUUGUACCAAAGAUUUAUCGCCGAGGGAUGGGCUCGCGUCUGAUUAGAUAGUUGGUGGGGUAACGGCCUACCAAGUCGACGAUCAGUAGCCGGACUGAGAGGUUGAUCGGCCACAUUGGGACUGAGACACGGCCCAGACUCCUACGGGAGGCAGCAGUGGGGGAUAUUGCACAAUGGGCGCAAGCCUGAAUGCAGCAACGCCGCGUGGAGGAAGACGGUUUUCGGAUUGUAAACUCCUGUUCUUAGGGAAGAAGACAGUGACGGUACCUAAGGAGCAAGCCACGGCUAACUACGUGCCAGCCGCGGC